CCCCCAUAGCAAAAUAUAAUCUAGAAGAAAUAAGAGGUUCACCUUUUGGUUCUAGUUAAUGACAACUUGAAGGUUGGCUUAAGUAAUAUCCAUCCCUCUACUUGCUAAGUUCCCUAAAUGUGGUUCUAAAAAUUAAUGUUAAGUAUUCAGGCCAGAGAUAUUUAUCAGAAGGAUGUGAUUUAAAUGGCUAUGUACCUCAUGGCAAGUCUUACAGAAAAAUAUAGGUACAAAUAUGCAUAAGUCAUAUUUAUAUACUUUCUAUAAAAUUAGACUGGCAUUAAUUAAAUGGCAGAAAAGGCAAUGAGAGCAUUGUUUGGAAGGUAGCUUGUUCCAAGUUCUGAUUAUAACUUGCUUCCCAAAGAAGGAGCCGCCCACAGCUUAGAAGACAGAUGAGAAGAUCAUCAUCACAGAUUUGCUGUGAACAGCUCUGCUCAGCUCUGUCCCUGCCAGACUUGGGGCCACACAUACCCUUCUAAGAGGGCUAAAGAAGAUUCACAAAGAGCACUGCUUCUUGCUCCAGCUUUGGCAAGAGCAGAGGAUGAUUUUGUCUUUCGUAAUCCCAUGAGUGAGUAAUAUAAUUACCCAAAUUUCAUGGAAGAAGAAACCGAGGCCAAAAUUUGCCCAUGGUUACAAAAAAAUGAGUCAUCAGUGUUCAGUGGAACAUCCUUUCAGUUGCAUGAAGAUGCCAAACUAGAGGAAAGAGGACACACCAUGUGAUUUCCCAAGGGCCAUCAUUUCCCAAGGGAUGGUUGUGACUGAGGGGACA
Prionailurus viverrinus (fishing cat) is the source of this 766-nucleotide long non-coding RNA. RefSeq lists it as uncharacterized. The record is from RefSeq and is a predicted model, not a curated record. NCBI's taxonomy places the organism in Eukaryota, Metazoa, Chordata, Mammalia, Carnivora, Felidae. The transcript has 3 exons.